This 4987-nucleotide long non-coding RNA is filed under the name Equus caballus (horse). RNAcentral describes it as "lncRNA (ENSECAG00000048209.1)". The record is from RNAcentral. Lineage: Eukaryota; Metazoa; Chordata; Mammalia; Perissodactyla; Equidae.
CAAGCAAUGCCACUUCAGCUGGAUGCAGUGUAGCUGCAGUGGUUUCAGAGCUCGCUGCCAUGUCCCUGAAUGUGGAAGUUGUGCUUAUACAGUGUCUGCAGUGUGACUCAAGGUGAUGCAGUAUGUUGUGAAGUAGGAUUCAAAGCCCAUGAGGGACGAUGCUGUGAUCCGGCAAUCAUUGCAGUUCACCUGCUGUGCCACUUCAUCUGGAUGCAGUGUCCCUGCAUUGCUUGCAGAGCACCCUGCUGUGUCCCUGAAUGUGGAUGCGGUGAACAUGCAGUGGAUGCAGUGAUCCUGCAGUGAUGGCAGUGCACAUGCAUUUCCUCAACAGCUGGAAGCAGUUUUGCUGCCGUGGUUGCAGUUCCACCUUCUGUGUCCCUGAAAGUGAAGGCAGUGCUCAUGUAGUGGAGGCAGUGUACCUAAAGGUUUAUGCAGUAUGUUGUGACGGAGGAUGCAGUGCACAAGAAGGCGGAUGCAGUGUCCCUGCAGUGGUUGCAUGGCCCCAGCAUUGUGCUGGAAUGUGGAUGGAGGGGUCAUAUAGUGGCUGCAGUGUAUCACAAGGCAGAGGCAGUAUGUUUUGUCGGAUGAUGCUAUGCCCAUGGAGGUGGAUUCGGUCAAUCUGCAGUGGUUGCAGUGCCCCCUACAGUUUCCCUGAAUGUGGAUGCAGUGCCCAUGCAGUGCAUGCAGUGUCCCACAAGGUGGAUGCAGUAUGUUGUGACGGAGGAUGCAGUGCCCACGAAGGUGGAUGCAGUGAUCCUGCAGUGGUUGCAGUGCCCCCUGCAGUUUACCUGAAUGUGGAUGCAGUGCUCAUGCAGUGGAUGCAGUGUCCCUCAAGGUGGAUGACUUAUGAUGUGUUGUAGGAUUCAGUGAUCAUGAAGGAUUAUGCAGUGAUCCUGCUGUCAUUGCAGUGAACUUGCAGUGCCACUUCAGCUGGUGGCAGUGUCCCUGAAGUGGUUUCCCUGCCUUGUUCUGUGUCCCUGAAUGUGUAUGCAGUGCCCAUGCAGUGGAUGCAGAGUACCAACAGUUGGUUGUCGUAUGUUGUGACAGAGGAUGAAGAGCCCUGGAGUUCAAUGCAGUCAGCCGGCAGUGAUUGCCGUACUCCUUCCGUGGCAAUUCAGCUGGAUGCAGUGUCACUGCAGUGGUUGCAAUGCCCCCUGCCUUGUCCUGGAAUGUGGAUGAAGUGCUCAUGCAGUGGAUGCAGUGUCCCACAAUGUGGAGGCAUUGUGGUGUGUUGUAGCAUCCAAUGCCGAUAAAGGUGAAUGCAGUGAUCCUGCAGUGAUGUCAGUGCACCUGCAGUGCCACUUCACGUGGAUGCAGUGUCCAUGCAGUGGUUGCAGUGCCCCCUGCAUUGUCCUGAAAUGUGGAUGCAGUGCACAGGCAGUGGAUGCAGUGUCCCACUAGGUGGAUGCAGUAUGUUAUGACGGAUGAUGCAGUUCUCAUGAAGGUGGAUGCAGUGUCCCUGCAGUGCUUGCAGUGCCCCCUGCAUUGUCCAGUAAUGUUAAUGCAGUAGUCAUACAGUGGAUGCGUUGUCCCACAAGGUGGAUGCACUAUGUUGUGAUGGAGGGUGCAGUGCCUGUGAGGGUGGAUGCAGUGAUCUGGCAGUGGUUGCAGUGCACCCUGCUGUGUCCAUGAAUGUGCAUGCUCUGAACAUGCAGUGGAUGCAGUGAUCAUGCAGUGAUUUCAGUAUUACUGCAUUUCCACAUCAGCUGGAAGCAGUGUCCCUGCAGGGGUUGCAGUGCCACCUUCUGUGUAGCUGAAUGUGAAUGCAGUGCCCAUGCAGUGAAUGCAGUGUACCUAAGGGUUUAUGCAGUAUGUUGUGACGGAGUAUGCAGUGCACAUGAAGGGGGAUACAGUGUACCUCCAGUAGUUGCAGUGCCCCUGACAUUGUCCUGAAAUGUUGAUGCAGUGCCUAUGCAGUGGAUGCAGUGAAUCUUCAGUGAUUGCAGUGCACCUCCAGUACCACUUCCGCUGGAUGCAGUGUAGCUGCAUAGGUUGCUGAGCCCCUGCCAUGUCCCUGAAUGUGGAUGCUGUGCCCAUGCAGUGUCUGCAGUGUGACUCAAGGUGGAUGCAGUAUGUUGUGAAGCAGGAUUCAGUGCCCAUGAGGACAAUGCAGUGAUUCUACAGUCAUUGCAGUUCACUUCAGUUCAUUUCAUCUGGAUUCAGUGUUCCUGUAGUGGUUGCAGUGCACCCUGCUGUGUCCCUGAAUGUGCAUGCUGUGAACAUGCAGUGGAUGCAGUGAUCCUGUAGUGAUUGCAGUGCACCUGCAUUUCUUCAUCAGCUGGAAGCAGUGUCGCUGCCGUGGUUGCAGUGCAACCUUCUGAGUCUCUGAAGGUGAAUGCAGUGCCCAUGCAGUGGAGGCAGUGUAUGUAAAGGUUUAUGCAGUAUGUUGUGACGGAGGAUGCAGUGCCCACAAAGUUGGAUGCCGUGAGCCUGUGCUUCAUCCUGUGCACCUGCAGUCUGAUUUAAGAUGGAUGCACUGUCACUGCAGUGGUUGCAGUGCGCAAUGCAUUGUCAGAGAAGGUGGAUGCAGUGCCCAGGCAGUGUCUGCAGUGUGACUCAAGGUGGACACAGUAUGUUGUGAAGCAGGAUUCAGUGCCCAUGAAGGACGAUGCAGUGAUCCUGCAGUCAUUGCAGUUCACCUCAGUCCACUUCAUCUGUAUUCAGUGUUCCUGUAGUGGUUGAAGUGCACCCUGCUGUGUCUCUGAAUGUGGAUGCUGUAAACAUGCCAUGGAUGCAGAGAUCCUGCAGUGAUUGCAUUGCACAUGCAUUUCCACAUCAGCUAGAUGCAGUGUCCCUCAGGGGUUGCAAUGCCAUCUUCAGUGUCCCUGAAGGUGACUGCAGUGCCCAUGCAGUGGAUGCAGUGUCCCUGCAGUGGGUUCAAUGCCCCUUGCAUUGUCCUGGAAUGUGGAUGCAGUGCUCAUGCAGUGGAUGCAGAGUCCCACAAUGUGAAGGCAUUGUGGUGUGUGUAGUAUGUAGUGCCGAUUAAUGUGAAUGCAGUGAUCCUGAAGUGAUGGCAGUGCUUCUGCAGUGCCACUUCAGCUGAAUAUAGUGUUGCUGCAGUGAUUGCAGUACCCCCCGCAUUGUCCGGAAAUGUGGAUACAGGAGUCAUGCAGUGGAUGCAGAGUCCCACAACUUGGAUGCAAUAGGUUGUGAAGGAGGAUGCAGGGCCCAUGAUGGUGGAUGCAGUUAUGCUGCACUGGUUGCAGUGCCUCUUAGAGUUCCCUGAAUGUGGAUGCAGUGCCCAUGCAGUAGUUGCUGUGUCCCACAAGGUGGAUGUCGUAGGUUGUGAUGGAAGAUGCAAUGUUUACGAAUGUGGAUGCAGGGAUCCCUCAGUGGUUGCGGUGCACCCUGCUUUGGGCCUGAAUGUGGAUGCUGUGAACAUGCAGUGGAUGCAGUGAUCCUGCAGUGGUUGGAGUGCACCUGCAUUUCCACAUCAGCUGGAAGCAGUGUCCCUGUAGGGGUUGCAGUGAUGCCUUCUGUGUCCCUAAAGGUGAAUGCAUUUCCCAUGCUGUGGAUGCAGUUUACCUAAAGGUUUAUGCAGUAUGUUGUGACGGAGGAUGCAGUGCCCAUCAACGUGGAUGCAGUCUCCCUGCACUGGUUUCAGUGCCCUGGCAUUGUCCUAGAAUGUGGAUGCAGGAGUCAUGCAGUGGAUGCAGUUUCUCAAAAGGUGGAUGCAGUACGCUUUCUCGCAGGAUGAAGUGCCCAUGAAGGUGGAUGCUGUGAACCUGCAGUUGUUGCCGUGCCCCCUACAGUUUCGCUGAAAGUGGUUGCAGUGCCCAUGCAAUGGGUGAAGUGUCACUGAAGGUACAAACAGUAUGUUCUGAUGGAUGAUGCAUUGCCCAUGAAGGUGCAUGCAGUGUUCCUGCACUGGUUGUCAUGCCCCCUUCUGUGUCACUGAUGGUGGAUGCAGUGCCCAUGAAGUGGAUGCAGUGUCCCACAAGGCUGAUUCAGUAUGUUUUAAUGGAGGAUGCAGUGCCCAUGAAGGUGGAUGCGGUGAUCCUGCAGUUGUUGCAGUGCCCCUUCAGGUUCCCUGAAUGUGGAUGCAGUGCCCAUGCAGUGGAUGCAGUGUUGCACAAGGUGGAUGCAGUAUGUUGUGACGGAAGAUGCAGUGCCCACGACUGUGAAUGCAGUGAGACUGCAGUGAUUGAAGUGCGCCUGCAGUGCCACUUCAACUCUAUACAGUGUCUGUGCAGUGGUUGAAGUGCCUGUUGCCCUGUGGCUGAACGUGGCUGCAGUUCCCAUGCAAUGGCUGCAGUGUCACUCAAGGUAGAUGCAGUAUGUUGUGACAGAGGAUGCAAUGCCCAUGAAGGUGGAUGCGGUGAUCCUGCAGUGGUUUCCGUGCACACUGCAGUGUCCCUGAAUGUGGAUGCAGUGAACAUGAAGUGGAUGCAGUGAACAUUCAGUUAUCGCGGUGCACCUGCAGUUCCACUUCAGCUGCAUACACUGUCCCUGCAGUCGUUGCGGUGCUGCCUGCAUUGUCUGGGAAUGUGGAUGCAGUGCCCCGGCAGUGUAUGCAGUGUCACAGAAGUUGGAUGCAGUAUGUUGUGACAUAGGAUGCAGUGCCCAUGAAGGUGGAUGCAGUGAUCCUUCACUGGUUUCCAUGUACACCGCAGUGUCCCUGAAUGUGGAUGCAGUGAACAAGCAGUGGAUGCACUGAACUUUCAGUGAUUGCAGUGCACCUGCAGUGCCACUUCAGCUGAAUGCAGUGUUGCUGCAGUGUUUGCAGAGCCCACUGCAGUGUCUCUGAAUGUGGAUGCAGGGCCCACGCAGCCUCUGCAGUGUGACCCAAGGUGGAUGCAGUAUGCUGUGAAGUAGGAUGCAGGACCCCUGAAGGAGGAUGCAGUGAUCCUGCAUUCAUUGCAGUGCAUCUGCACUGUCAAUGCAUCUGAAUGCAGUGUCCCUAAUAUGGAUUCAGUGCUCAUGCAGUGAUGAUGAAUGUUGUGAUGGAGGAUGCAGUGCCCAUGAAGGCAGAUGCAGUGAUCAUUCG